This 68-nucleotide transfer RNA is filed under the name Marmota monax (woodchuck). Its description in RNAcentral is "tRNA.Ala". The stretch from base 5 to 65 matches the Rfam family "tRNA", at positions 6 to 65 of the family's 71-position model. Rfam says of the family: Transfer RNA (tRNA) molecules are approximately 80 nucleotides in length. Their secondary structure includes four short double-helical elements and three loops (D, anti-codon, and T loops). Further hydrogen bonds mediate the characteristic L-shaped molecular structure. tRNAs have two regions of fundamental functional importance: the anti-codon, which is responsible for specific mRNA codon recognition, and the 3' end, to which the tRNAs corresponding amino acid is attached (by aminoacyl-tRNA synthetases). tRNAs cope with the degeneracy of the genetic code in two manners: having more than one tRNA (with a specific anti-codon) for a particular amino acid; and 'wobble' base-pairing, i.e. permitting non-standard base-pairing at the 3rd anti-codon position. Lineage: Eukaryota; Metazoa; Chordata; Mammalia; Rodentia; Sciuridae. The record is from RNAcentral.
GCAUUGUGGCUCAAUGGUAGAGUGCUUACCUAGCAUGUGUGAGGCACUGGGUUCGAUCCCCAGCACCA